This 496-nucleotide ribosomal RNA is filed under the name uncultured bacterium. Its description in RNAcentral is "partial 16S ribosomal RNA". It matches the Rfam family "Bacterial small subunit ribosomal RNA", at positions 29 to 507 of the family's 1533-position model. The record is from RNAcentral.
AUGAACGCUGGCGGCGUGCCUCAUACAUGCAAGUCGAGCGAACAGACGAGGAGCUUGCUCCUCUGACGUUAGCGGCGGACGGGUGAGUAACACGUGGAUAACCUACCUAUAAGACUGGGAUAACUUCGGGAAACCGGAGCUAAUACCGGAUAAUAUAUUGAACCGCAUGGUUCAAUAGUGAAAGACGGUUUUGCUGUCACUUAUAGAUGGAUCCGCGCCGCAUUAGCUAGUUGGUAAGGUAACGGCUUACCAAGGCAACGAUGCGUAGCCGACCUGAGAGGGUGAUCGGCCACACUGGAACUGAGACACGGUCUAGACUCCUACGGGAGGCAGCAGUAGGGAAUCUUCCGCAAUGGGCGAAAGCCUGACGGAGCAACGCCGCGUGAGUGAUGAAGGUCUUCGGAUCGUAAAACUCUGUUAUUAGGGAAGAACAAAUGUGUAAGUAACUAUGCACGUCUUGACGGUACCUAAUCAGAAAGCCACGGCUAACUACGUG